UGAGAAGACAGGGUUACGGAAACAACUGAUGAACACAGCUUUAGAUCAGCUCAUGAAGAGUCAAACAUUUAGAAGUUUAAAAGAGAAACUAGAGUUUCUCUACAAGUGGAAAAAAGACCCAGAAUCUGAAGUGUCUCUGCUUAGGAGCAUAGUUUCAUCGUUCAAGAAUUCUUAAUAAUUAUAGUUUCAUCGUUCAAGAAUACUUAAUAAUUAAAGUUUCAUCGUUCAAGAAUACUUAAUAAUUAUAGUUUCAUCGUUCAAGAAUACUUAAUGAUUAAAGUUUCAUCGUUCAAGAAUACUUAAUAAAUAUAGUUUCAUCAUUCAAGAAUACUUAAUAAUUAUAGUUUCAUUGUUCAAGAAUAAUUUGAACAUUAUUAAUUUUCAGAGAGAAAAACAAAAAUAACACAAUAAUUUUUUAUUGGACAACGGUUUAAAGUGCCCAGUUUUAAAUUAAAACCCCCUUUUAAUAAAGGCUCACAAUGUAAAUUACGUUUAUGCAAUCACUUUAAAAAUACGUGUAACUGAAGAAAGACAUAUCACUUUAUAUAAUAUUUUUUUAAUAGAAUUGUACACGGUUUUUUGCUUCAAAGUUCAAUGCACAAGAAAAUGCACUGUGAAAAAACGGCCUUUAACAAUUAUUUUUUGGUUAUUAACCCUUUUACAUAUUUAUAGUGUUGCUUCUAAAAAUCAAGGAAUUAAAAGAUUAAUCACCAAGAAUGUUCGGCGAAUUUUCUUCCAUUUUCGAAUGCAACAAAAAUAAGCUAAGAAAGUUUGUAAGUUGUUUUUAACCUUUAUAAGUCAAUGUUUGUAGACUGUUUAAUGUUGAUGUGAUAUUAUGUUGCGCUUGUGGUUUUAUCACUGACGGUUUAGCUAGUUUUGUGAUCCUUGUAAUUAAUAACUUAUAUAACUUAAUAACAUCCUAGUGUUACUUUUUCUUGUAAAAUACUUUUAAACCUUUCGACUUGUAUACUUAACUGUACAAUGCAAAUAAAUAUGGCAUAAACGUGAA
Eurytemora carolleeae is the source of this 1009-nucleotide long non-coding RNA. RefSeq lists it as uncharacterized. The record is from RefSeq and is a predicted model, not a curated record. The transcript is spliced from 2 exons. NCBI's taxonomy places the organism in Eukaryota, Metazoa, Arthropoda, Copepoda, Calanoida, Temoridae.